AGUCCCACGAGGAAGCUGCAGGCGUUUUUCAGCCAACAGUUUGACUUCAACGAAGUCAGCAGCAUCCUGAGUCAAACCCGGCUGGAGUCCCUCUGCUCAGAGCAGCGUUGCGUGGGUGUGUCACACAGAUGGGCACAGUCACCCAGGCCACAGGGCUUCUCUAGAAGCUGGAGGGAACCUUGGCUAGGGCUUAACCUGCUUCGGUUCACCACUUCUCUGCCAAGCCCUUUUCUGUGGAAUUUCCAUCUGCCUCUCCACAGCAAUGACUUGAAAACUGGCAACAUAAGGUACAGAGGACAGAGAAGCCUAAUGAUCACUCAGAGAGUGAAUGAAGGCUGGGAGCUGGUAGAGGAUAGAGGAUGCCACUGCCACCAGCCCUCACUGCACUUCCUUCAGGUAAGACAGGGAGGAAGUGAGAGGGCACAGAGGCCACGCAUUCAGUUUUGCUGUCAUCAAUUCCUAGAGUCACAAGUUUUAUCUCCUGACACAUUUCUGAUACAGUGCUUAGGACAUCCUGCCCUUCAAAAACAGCUCAGGAAAUAAACCUUGUGACUUCAGGCAUUGAGCCAUUCUUGGGAUCGAAAAUCUGUGACCUAUAGAGUAUGGAAUGAUAGACACUGGAGACUAGGAAGGAUGAAGGGUGGAAGCGGGUGAGAGAUGAGAAAUUAUCAGAGCCACUGGAACCAGAGUGACUCCAUCUUGAAGAGGGGCUGGGUAAAAUGAGGCUGACACCUGCUGGGCUGUGUCCCCAGGAGGUCAGCCAUUCUUAGUCACAGGAACGACGGGAUAGGAAGUAACAAAGACCCCUCUGAUUAAACAGGAUGCAGUAAAGAAGCCAGCCAAAACCCAUCAAAUCCUAGAUGGCAAUGACGAUGACCUCUGGUCAUCUUCACUGCUCAUUCUACACUAAUGAAAAUGCAUUUGCACACUCAAAGACACUCCCACUCCUGCAGUGACAGUUUACAAAUGCCAUGACAAUGUCCAGAAGUUACCCUACAUGGUUUAACCCUCAGUUGCAGGGGAAUUGCCCACCCCUUUCCUGGAAAAUUCAUGAAUAAUUCACCCCUUGUUUAGCAUGUGAUCAAAAAGUAACCAUAAAAAUAGCCAACCAGUAGCCCUUGUGGCUGCUCUGCCUAUGGAGUAGCCCUUCUUUUGUUUAUUUACUUCUCUCAUAAAUGCUUUCACUUUACUCUGUGGAGUCACCCCAAAUUCUCUCUUCCAGGGAGAUCCAAGAACAGUCUCUUAGGGUCUGGAUCAGGACCCCUUUCUGGUAGCAAAAUUACUUAAUGGAUACAAUGUACAUUAUUUGAGUGAUGGUUACACUAAAAGCCCAGACUUUACCUCUAGGCAAUAUAUCCAGGUAACAAAAUUGCGCUUGUACCCCUUAAAUUUAUACAAACAAUUAAAAAAAGAAAAUCACAACCUGGGGGGAGACUGCUGUUACUCAGCCCUCGGGUUUCCACCUGUCAGUGUUACUGUGAAGAAUAACCUUAAAAUUAUCCCAGGAGUGUCUAAAGGAAAAAUUCAUAGUACAUUUGAUGGUCUGCUGUCAGAACUUUUCAUGCCAUUUUUUUUCUGGUUAAGUGUCAAAAUGAGCAUCAUAAAAUUCUGCGUAAGAGUCUAACUGAUACUAUUAGAAUCAUUAACAUGUUACUGCUCCUUUAUGUUUGAGAUUCUUCAUAACCAUUCAGACUAUCCAUUCAUUUACCGAAUACAUAGUCAUAAAGUUUGUAGGAAAGCUCCCUUCAGCCUACCUGCUUUGAAUUAGUUCCUCACUAAUUGUGUUCUAACUGAUCUCCCUGUGCCUCCUCACCUUCCAACCCUACCAUCAGCGCCUUCCUGACGAGAAAGUAAAAAUUAGCUCAGAACAAGAAAGUAAAAACAUGCCUGGCCAUUCAUCAGGCUGGAAUAACAGACACGGAUAAAGCCGUCUUCAAAGUAACAGGGAACGGUAUUUCUCCCAAGGACAUACUGCAACUCUAACAGGUCAGAACAGCCCCUUCUUUGAGUCACUACUGCUUUUUUACUCUCUAAGAAACUUUAUUCUCUAAAAUCAUGGACUCUCCAAUGCUUUGCUGUUUAGAAUUGUAUCAGUAAGAAUGAAACCUCCACUUUUGGCUGGAAAACCUAGUCGCUUUUUGAUGCAGAGAAACAGUCUAGGUUUAUAACGCGGAGGCAGAGCUUCAGACAAGGGGUUUCCACAUCUAUCUCACAACUGCAUUGUUUCCAUAGAAACAGGAUCCUGGGUCCAUUUUUCAGUGCAGAUCUGAUACUGACCCCUUUAUACUACCCUACUUCACUGUGAGCCUAUCAAAACACUGCUUCAUUCAAAUUUCAUCUAAACCCCACCCUUCCCCAGAAUCCUAGAUUACUUCUGUUUCUUCUUUGUUUGGUGAAAUGCCCUCUAGAGUUCCAUUUACCCAAUUGGAUUAGAUAAAUAAAUCCAAAUGUACCAGACUAUUGGUUUGUUUCUGGUGGUCUUUGGUUGAUGCAGCUAGCACAUUGAGCAGCUAAUGCUUAUUCUGCCACAAACAGAAUAAAUUUUUCAAGAGGUUGGCAGAAUGGCUAUAAGAGUCAUCUCCAGCUGGGCACAGUGGGCACAGUAGCGCACGCCUCUAAUCCCAGCACUUUGGGAGGCCAAGGCAGGUGGAUCACUUGAGGCCAGGAGUUCAAGACGAGCCUGGCCAAGAUGGUGAAACCCUAGCUCUACUAAAAAUACAAAAAAGAAAAGAAAAUUGUUGGGUGUGUUGGCAGACACCUGUAAUCCCAACAACUCAGGAGGCUGAAGCAAAAGAAUCACUUGAGCCUUGGAGGUGGAGAUGGCAGUGAGCCGAGAGUAUGCCACUGCACUUUAGCAUGGAUAAUGGAGAGAGACUCCGUCUCAAAAAAUAAAAAGAAAAACUAAAAUUCAUCUCCUAUCAUUAUGUAUGGUUCUUUUAUUUUUUUCAAAGUAUUUAGAUGAUGGAACUUCUGCCUUUGUUAAGGGUAUUUGUACAGGACAUGGGGUAUUUGAAUUAUACAAAUCUUGUACUCAAGGAUCCAGGACCAGUCAAUACUUUCAUAUAAACUUGGAAAUAAUUACCCUAGACCAGAGAUCACUGGUAUAUUAUUAUAAAACUGUUUCUGUAAAUGGACGAAUAGUAAAUAUUGCUGAAAACUAUGUAACUCUGUUGUUCUUGUAGCCCAAAAGUAGCCAUAGACAAUAUGUAGUGAUGGGGCUUGGCUGUAUUCCAACAAAACUUUGUUUUAGCAAAACAAGAAAUGGGCCAGAUUGAACUCAAGGGCCACGGUUUGCUGACCCUCAUCCUAGACCAUCGCAAUAAA
RNAcentral lists this long non-coding RNA (3324 nucleotides) under Macaca fascicularis (crab-eating macaque). RNAcentral describes it as "lncRNA (ENSMFAG00000060310.1)". Lineage: Eukaryota; Metazoa; Chordata; Mammalia; Primates; Cercopithecidae. The record is from RNAcentral.